UGGCGCCCAGAAAGUGGGGCUGGAGUACGAAGGGACCAGUGAAGAUCACCUCAGUUUUUUUUUGGUCAGCCAAUGAAUUUUGUAUGGACGAUGUCUUGCACGGGAAUCUGCCACCUCGACUAGGGAUCCUAGUAAGUUUGCGGUGAUCACUGAGACAGACCUUGAAUAGCCAUGAAUUAUUUGUGGAAAGGUUGAAAAAGGCUUUAAAGGUGUGAGGGAUGAAGGUUAAAAUACAUGAUUGGCUUGCAUUUUUUUAUUUUGUUUAAGAGAUUUGCCCAU
Mus musculus (house mouse) is the source of this 279-nucleotide non-coding RNA. NCBI's taxonomy places the organism in Eukaryota, Metazoa, Chordata, Mammalia, Rodentia, Muridae. The record is from Rfam.